CGGCAUGCCUAACACAUGCAAGUCGAACGAGACCUUCGGGUCUAGUGGCGCACGGGUGCGUAACGCGUGGGAAUCUGCCCUUGGGUUCGGAAUAACAGUUGAAAUGACUGCUAAUACCGGAUAAUGUCUUCGGACCAAAGAUUUAUCGCCCAGGGAUGAGCCCGCGUAGGAUUAGCUAGUUGGUGAGGUAAAGGCUCACCAAGGCGACGAUCCUUAGCUGGUCUGAGAGGAUGAUCAGCCACACUGGGACUGAGACACGGCCCAGACUCCUACGGGAGGCAGCAGUGGGGAAUAUUGGACAAUGGGCGAAAGCCUGAUCCAGCAAUGCCGCGUGAGUGAUGAAGGCCUUAGGGUUGUAAAGCUCUUUUACCCGGGAUGAUAAUGACAGUACCGGGAGAAUAAGCCCCGGCUAACUCCGUG
This 420-nucleotide ribosomal RNA is filed under the name uncultured bacterium. Its description in RNAcentral is "bacterial SSU rRNA". It matches the Rfam family "Bacterial small subunit ribosomal RNA", at positions 40 to 507 of the family's 1533-position model. The record is from RNAcentral.